AUUGAACGCUGGCGGAAUGCUUUACACAUGCAAGUCGAACGGCAGCACGGGGGCAACCCUGGUGGCGAGUGGCGAACGGGUAAGUAAUACAUCGGAACGUGCCCGGUCGUGGGGGAUAACGUAGCGAAAGUUACGCUAAUACCGCAUACGAUCUGAGGAUGAAAGCGGGGGACCUUCGGGCCUCGCGCGAUCGGAGCGGCCGAUGUCAGAUUAGGUAGUUGGUGGGGUAAAGGCCUACCAAGCCGACGAUCUGUAGCUGGUCUGAGAGGACGACCAGCCACACUGGGACUGAGACACGGCCCAGACUCCUACGGGAGGCAGCAGUGGGGAAUUUUGGACAAUGGGCGCAAGCCUGAUCCAGCCAUUCCGCGUGCAGGACGAAGGCCUUCGGGUUGUAAACUGCUUUUGUAUGGAACGAAAAGGCUCUGGCUAAUACCUGGGGCUCAUGACGGUACCGUAAGAAUAAGCACCGGCUAACUACGUG
This 484-nucleotide ribosomal RNA is filed under the name uncultured bacterium. RNAcentral's name for it is "partial 16S ribosomal RNA". It matches the Rfam family "Bacterial small subunit ribosomal RNA", at positions 30 to 507 of the family's 1533-position model. The record is from RNAcentral.